Molecule: ribosomal RNA, 253 nt
Filed under: uncultured bacterium
Lineage: Bacteria
Description: partial 16S ribosomal RNA
Rfam family: Bacterial small subunit ribosomal RNA
Source: RNAcentral
UACGUAGGGUGCGAGCGUUGUCCGGAACUAUUGGGCGUAAAGAGCUCGUAGGCGGUCUGUCGCGUCUGCUGUGAAAUCCCGAGGCUCAACCUCGGGCCUGCAGUGGGUACGGGCAGACUAGAGUGCGGUAGGGGAGAUUGGAAUUCCUGGUGUAGCGGUGGAAUGCGCAGAUAUCAGGAGGAACACCGAUGGCGAAGGCAGAUCUCUGGGCCGUAACUGACGCUGAGGAGCGAAAGCGUGGGGAGCGAACAGG